Molecule: ribosomal RNA, 406 nt
Filed under: uncultured bacterium
Lineage: Bacteria
Description: partial 16S ribosomal RNA
Rfam family: Bacterial small subunit ribosomal RNA
Source: RNAcentral
AUUGAACGCUGGCGGCAGGCCUAACACAUGCAAGUCGAACGCGAGGCGGACGGGUGAGAAAUGUGUGGGGAACUGUCCGCUAGGGGGGGAGAACUACAGGGAACGGUAGCUCUUAUCGCGUACGAUCUGAGAUGCCCACGUGGGGUUAGCUAGUGGGUGGGGUAACAGCGCACCACGGCGACGAUCCCUAGCUGGUCUGAGAGGAGGACCAGCCACACGGGAACUGAGACACGGUCCAGACUCCUACGGGAGGCAGCAGUGGGGAAUAUUGCACAAUGGGCGCAAGCCUGAUGCAGCCAUGCCGCGUGUAUGAAGAAGGCCUUCGGGUUGUAAAGUACUUUCAGCGGGGAGGCGUUACUCGCAGAAGAAGCACCGGCUAACUCCGUGCCAGCAGCCGCGGUAAUUC